GUUUAUGUAGCUUAUUUAAAGCAUGGCACUGAAGAUGCCAAGAUAGAUUUUUAGAAUAUCUCAAAGACA
RNAcentral lists this transfer RNA (69 nucleotides) under Salamandrella keyserlingii (Siberian salamander). Its description in RNAcentral is "tRNA-Phe". It matches the Rfam family "tRNA". Rfam says of the family: Transfer RNA (tRNA) molecules are approximately 80 nucleotides in length. Their secondary structure includes four short double-helical elements and three loops (D, anti-codon, and T loops). Further hydrogen bonds mediate the characteristic L-shaped molecular structure. tRNAs have two regions of fundamental functional importance: the anti-codon, which is responsible for specific mRNA codon recognition, and the 3' end, to which the tRNAs corresponding amino acid is attached (by aminoacyl-tRNA synthetases). tRNAs cope with the degeneracy of the genetic code in two manners: having more than one tRNA (with a specific anti-codon) for a particular amino acid; and 'wobble' base-pairing, i.e. permitting non-standard base-pairing at the 3rd anti-codon position. Lineage: Eukaryota; Metazoa; Chordata; Amphibia; Caudata; Hynobiidae. The record is from RNAcentral.